Molecule: ribosomal RNA, 253 nt
Filed under: uncultured bacterium
Lineage: Bacteria
Description: partial 16S ribosomal RNA
Rfam family: Bacterial small subunit ribosomal RNA
Source: RNAcentral
UACAGAGGGUGCAAACGUUGUUCGGAAUUACUGGGCGUAAAGCGCGUGUAGGCGGUUUUGGAAGUCGGAUGUGAAAGCCCUGAGCUCAACUUGGGAAGUGCAUUCGAUACUCUAGAACUUGAGUCUUGGAGAGGAUGGUGGAACUCUUGGUGGAGAGGUGAAAUUCGUAGAUAUCAGGAAGAACACCAGUGGCGAAGGCGGCCAUCUGGACAAUGACUGACGCUGAGACGCGAAAGCGUGGGGAGCAAACAGG